RNAcentral lists this long non-coding RNA (442 nucleotides) under Rhinopithecus bieti (black snub-nosed monkey). RNAcentral describes it as "lncRNA (ENSRBIG00000045151.1)". Lineage: Eukaryota; Metazoa; Chordata; Mammalia; Primates; Cercopithecidae. The record is from RNAcentral.
UUUUUAACAAAUACAUUUUAUUCCUUAGGGGAAAAAACCUCUUCCUCAGAUCUCACUCUUGUUUUGUAUUGGGAAGCUCCAAGCAACAGGAGUAAAGCUGGAUAAAGACAAAGAGGUUUAGAAAAGACAUGGAAAGGGAAAGAAAAAAGAAAGCAAAUGAUAACAAAAACCCUGAAUUUAUCAUCUCCAAAGGCAACACUGGGCCGCUGUUAAUUUUAGGAGAGAAGAGACAAAAUUAUAAAGAAUGCUGAAAAUAAGGAAAUAAAGGGAAAAUGUGAUGGAGCCAUACCUACCUUGACAACAUGCAUGAAACUACUACAACUCAAGAGACCUGUGUUUUAUAACAUUAGGUCCAUUCAAGGUGAGUAUCUAGAAUUGGAAGACAAGUUUUCCAAAACUCAUGAGUUCAGUUAAAGUGUGGACCAUAAAAAAGGUCUGCCUG